UACCUUUUAAUAGUGAUUUUGGUGAUUUGAGCAUAAAAAGGUAUAUGUUUUAGUUAGAUUUAAUUAAUGAGUUUUAAUAUUUAUUUUUGGGAUUUAUGAUUUUCAUAGGUUGAUUUAAAUAAUAUUUACAGCUUAUUGAGUAUUUUUGUUGAGUUUGGGUAUUUUUGGGAGGUCUAGCUAUGUCGAAAUACUGCCCAAAUUUUCUUAAAAAUAUAUAUAAAAAUAUUUUAAAAUUUCAUAUUUUACGUUUUAUAUUAUUGUUUUAGAGCAUUUUUAUUAUUUGAUAUAUUAUUUUAUUUUUCUUUUAAUUCUAGGAGAGGAUCCAGCUUUCAGGAUAGAUAAUAGGGGUCCUCCUGCGACCUAGGUCUUUUGUCCCAAGUAUUCUGUUCCUUUUUGAUGAUCCGUUCAGCAGUCCUCAUCUCCUAGUUUAUCUUUCCUUCCACUUCAUCCACUCAGAGUCUAGAGGAGGUCGGACCAAUCCUAAGCCUGUUGUAAUUUCUUUUUGUAAUUUUGAUAGAUCAUGUAUAGAUUGUACAUUCCAGUGAAAAAUGUUUUCGUUUAUUGUAAAUAUUUUAUCUAUUGACAGGUCCAACUAGCAGGUUACAUGUUUUUAUAUAUAUAAAUAUCAGGGGAAGUUCUGUCAGUUUUCUUGGUCA
Long non-coding RNA from Manihot esculenta (cassava), 656 nucleotides. RefSeq lists it as uncharacterized. NCBI's taxonomy places the organism in Eukaryota, Viridiplantae, Streptophyta, Magnoliopsida, Malpighiales, Euphorbiaceae. The record is from RefSeq and is a predicted model, not a curated record. The transcript is spliced from 2 exons.